GAUUAAGUUAUUAAGGGCGCACGGUGGAUGCCUUGGCACUAGAAGCCGAUGAAGGACGUUACUAACGACGAUAUGCUUUGGGGAGCUGUAAGUAAGCUUUGAUCCAGAGAUUUCCGAAUGGGGAAACCCAGCAUGAGUUAUGUCAUGUUAUCGAUAUGUGAAUACAUAGCAUAUCAGAAGGCACACCCGGAGAACUGAAACAUCUUAGUACCCGGAGGAAGAGAAAGAAAAUUCGAUUCCCUUAGUAGCGGCGAGCGAAACGGGAAGAGCCCAAACCAACAAGCUUGCUUGUUGGGGUUGUAGGACACUCUAUACGGAGUUACAAAGGACGACAUUAGACGAAUCAUCUGGAAAGAUGAAUCAAAGAAGGUAAUAAUCCUGUAGUCGAAAAUGUUGUCUCUCUUGAGUGGAUCCUGAGUACGACGGAGCACGUGAAAUUCCGUCGGAAUCUGGGAGGACCAUCUCCUAAGGCUAAAUACUCUCUAGUGACCGAUAGUGAACCAGUACCGUGAGGGAAAGGUGAAAAGCACCCCGGAAGGGGAGUGAAAUAGAACCUGAAACCGUGUGCUUACAAGUAGUCAGAGCCCGUUAAUGGGUGAUGGCGUGCCUUUUGUAGAAUGAACCGGCGAGUUACGAUUUGAUGCAAGGUUAAGCAGUAAAUGUGGAGCCGUAGCGAAAGCGAGUCUGAAUAGGGCGUUUAGUAUUUGGUCGUAGACCCGAAACCAGGUGAUCUACCCUUGGUCAGGUUGAAGUUCAGGUAACACUGAAUGGAGGACCGAACCGACUUACGUUGAAAAGUGAGCGGAUGAACUGAGGGUAGCGGAGAAAUUCCAAUCGAACCUGGAGAUAGCUGGUUCUCUCCGAAAUAGCUUUAGGGCUAGCCUCAAGUGAUGAUUAUUGGAGGUAGAGCACUGUUUGGACGAGGGGCCCCUCUCGGGUUACCGAAUUCAGACAAACUCCGAAUGCCAAUUAAUUUAACUUGGGAGUCAGAACAUGGGUGAUAAGGUCCGUGUUCGAAAGGGAAACAGCCCAGACCACCAGCUAAGGUCCCAAAAUAUAUGUUAAGUGGAAAAGGAUGUGGCGUUGCCCAGACAACUAGGAUGUUGGCUUAGAAGCAGCCAUCAUUUAAAGAGUGCGUAAUAGCUCACUAGUCGAGUGACACUGCGCCGAAAAUGUACCGGGGCUAAACAUAUUACCGAAGCUGUGGAUUGUCCUUUGGACAAUGGUAGGAGAGCGUUCUAAGGGCGUUGAAGCAUGAUCGUAAGGACAUGUGGAGCGCUUAGAAGUGAGAAUGCCGGUGUGAGUAGCGAAAGACGGGUGAGAAUCCCGUCCACCGAUUGACUAAGGUUUCCAGAGGAAGGCUCGUCCGCUCUGGGUUAGUCGGGUCCUAAGCUGAGGCCGACAGGCGUAGGCGAUGGAUAACAGGUUGAUAUUCCUGUACCACCUAUAAUCGUUUUAAUCGAUGGGGGGACGCAGUAGGAUAGGCGAAGCGUGCGAUUGGAUUGCACGUCUAAGCAGUAAGGCUGAGUAUUAGGCAAAUCCGGUACUCGUUAAGGCUGAGCUGUGAUGGGGAGAAGACAUUGAGUNNNNNNNNNNNNNNNNNNNNNNNNNNNNNNNNNNNNNNNNNNNNNNNNNNNNNNNNNNNNNNNNNNNNNNNNNNNNNNNNNNNNNNNNNNNNNNNNAGUCUUCGAGUCGUUGAUUUCACACUGCCGAGAAAAGCCUCUAGAUAGAAAAUAGGUGCCCGUACCGCAAACCGACACAGGUAGUCAAGAUGAGAAUUCUAAGGUGAGCGAGCGAACUCUCGUUAAGGAACUCGGCAAAAUGACCCCGUAACUUCGGGAGAAGGGGUGCUCUUUAGGGUUAACGCCCAGAAGAGCCGCAGUGAAUAGGCCCAAGCGACUGUUUAUCAAAAACACAGGUCUCUGCUAAACCGUAAGGUGAUGUAUAGGGGCUGACGCCUGCCCGGUGCUGGAAGGUUAAGAGGAGUGGUUAGCUUCUGCGAAGCUACGAAUCGAAGCCCCAGUAAACGGCGGCCGUAACUAUAACGGUCCUAAGGUAGCGAAAUUCCUUGUCGGGUAAGUUCCGACCCGCACGAAAGGCGUAACGAUUUGGGCACUGUCUCAACGAGAGACUCGGUGAAAUCAUAGUACCUGUGAAGAUGCAGGUUACCCGCGACAGGACGGAAAGACCCCGUGGAGCUUUACUGUAGCCUGAUAUUGAAAUUCGGCACAGCUUGUACAGGAUAGGUAGGAGCCUUUGAAACGUGAGCGCUAGCUUACGUGGAGGCGCUGGUGGGAUACUACCCUAGCUGUGUUGGCUUUCUAACCCGCACCACUUAUCGUGGUGGGAGACAGUGUCAGGCGGGCAGUUUGACUGGGGCGGUCGCCUCCUAAAAGGUAACGGAGGCGCUCAAAGGUUCCCUCAGAAUGGUUGGAAAUCAUUCAUAGAGUGUAAAGGCAUAAGGGAGCUUGACUGCGAGACCUACAAGUCGAGCAGGGUCGAAAGACGGACUUAGUGAUCCGGUGGUUCCGCAUGGAAGGGCCAUCGCUCAACGGAUAAAAGCUACCCCGGGGAUAACAGGCUUAUCUCCCCCAAGAGUUCACAUCGACGGGGAGGUUUGGCACCUCGAUGUCGGCUCAUCGCAUCCUGGGGCUGUAGUCGGUCCCAAGGGUUGGGCUGUUCGCCCAUUAAAGCGGUACGCGAGCUGGGUUCAGAACGUCGUGAGACAGUUCGGUCCCUAUCCGUCGUGGGCGUAGGAAAUUUGAGAGGAGCUGUCCUUAGUACGAGAGGACCGGGAUGGACAUACCUCUGGUGUACCAGUUGUCGUGCCAACGGCAUAGCUGGGUAGCUAUGUGUGGACGGGAUAAGUGCUGAAAGCAUCUAAGCAUGAAGCCCCCCUCAAGAUGAGAUUUCCCAACUUCGGUUAUAAGAUCCCUCAAAGAUGAUGAGGUUAAUAGGUUCGAGGUGGAAGCAUGGUGACAUGUGGAGCUGACGAAUACUAAUCGAUCGAAGACUUAAUCAA
This 3022-nucleotide ribosomal RNA is filed under the name Staphylococcus aureus. RNAcentral describes it as "23S ribosomal RNA". It matches the Rfam family "Bacterial large subunit ribosomal RNA". Lineage: Bacteria; Bacillati; Bacillota; Bacilli; Caryophanales; Staphylococcaceae. The record is from RNAcentral.